GAAGAUCAUUUUCUCUAUGUUAAAUAGAGAUGACACUAAUCUUAUAGCGAUGCUAUUAUGGCCAAUAUGAUUUUCAGGAAUUGAAUAGUUUCAUUUUUCAAAAAUUAAUGCUAUGCCUGCUCCCAACUUGAUGACUUUGCUAUUAUCCAUACACGUACAUCUUUGCUAAAAGCUUCAAGUGUUAAACUGUGGUCCUCUCUAUCUAUCAAUGUUUAUAAAACUAGUGCUGAUGCCUCUGUUUUGCCUGCAACAAGGGCGACUGGACUAGGAGUUGGUUGUGCCAUUGCAUCUGCUGCCAAAAGAGUUGAAGAGGUUUGGGAUGUGGAAAUGGCUGAAUUAAUGGCACUGUUAUAUGCCAUAUCUAUUGCUUGGGACAGUGAGAUUCGGCGAGUUAUUGUUGAAAAUAUGAUGCUGUAGCCGCUAUUCACAAGCUCUAACAAUGGAGGGCCAAAUUCAUCUUUGAACUACUAGCUGAUAUUUGAAAAUUCUCAACACUGUUCUAACAUUUGAUGAGGUCCAUUUCUCUCCAGAAAAUAUCAUUUUAGAUGGAUAAAUUUAAAAGUCUUACGUUAAUAGAAUAGGGAAUAAACCUGCUCAUUUCUUGGCUAUAGUGGCUCACAAUCUGGUGCAUGAACAAAUACUUAUGGAGGAAGUCCUAUCUAACGUAUGGCCAUAUGUUUAUGAGGGUGCAAUUUCUUUAUUGAGUUAAUGAAGUUGCCGUUUUCAGUUAAACAAAAAAACUAUCUCUGAGAUUGUUCCAGUCAUAGUCUGAUAGAUGUUCCUUAUUCACUGAUAUCCAUUUCUCAACCUUAAGCCAUCCAUGCAGUUCACUUUCACAUGGGAAACAAUGCAGGAAUUCUGACCAACUGUGCAGCAAUAUAAUAUUCUUUAGAAAUUUCAAAAUAAUCUGCAGAAGCACAGCACAUGGAGAACACAGAAAUAGUAGAUAUGCCCCAGGAAAAAUAUCAUCAGAGGAACAGAGAACUGAUGCGCUUGAGGACUGAUAAGCAAAAGAUUCCUAAAAACUUUCAAAGCUUAUCAAAACAAAUGGACUCAAUAUGCUAGGUUUCAAAGCAAUGAGUUCUAUAUAUUUAUCUAUCUGCAAAUGCAACUUCAAAUUGACUUCCAACUUAUCCAAAUUAUCUGCAACCUUAAUAUAGAACUAAGCCCCAAUUUUGGUAAAAUUGUUACAAAUGAUUCUCAUAAUAAGCUCCCAAAAUGCAAAUAUGAGUAAUGGAUUUUAUUACAAUGAAGCUUACCAAUGCUAUGCUUCCUUUCUAGGAUCAAAUAAUCUUUGAUAGCAUAAAAAGGUGAUUCCAAGUAAUUAAAAUAGUGUCAAGAAAGUGUUCAAAAUAUUUACCUUAAAAGUAUUCCCAGCAUCCGAAAAGCAGAUAUCCCAUAUAGUACUGAAUAUCUUCAAGAUGCAAUCUUGAUCCCUCAGCAAGCCAACCUACAUUUAUAUAGAAGAAACUAAAGAAAUGCAUAAUUUUGCCUUGGCUUCACUCUUUUUACCCUGUCUUCUGAUUACCAGUUGGCAAUUUCUUGAAUCUUUACAAAAAUUGAGGACCAUCAAUUUCAAUAAUCUGAAAUCUAAGGCCAUAUCAAUGCAAAAUGCUUAUUUAGCAUUCCAUCAACCACUCAAAUCAUUACUGGCAACAACUUCAACCCUUUAUCAUGAUAAUAUCUUAACCACCACUAAGGGAAAUAAUAAAAGAAGUCCACACAAAAACUCUGCUGUGGCUUUGAUCUUAAAAAUAUCAUCCACCCAUCUUAGAGUACUAUCAUCCAUUAACA
RNAcentral lists this long non-coding RNA (1794 nucleotides) under Ricinus communis (castor bean). RNAcentral describes it as "long non-coding RNA (RCOM_LNC002254)". Lineage: Eukaryota; Viridiplantae; Streptophyta; Magnoliopsida; Malpighiales; Euphorbiaceae. The record is from RNAcentral.